CUCGUGUCUACAGGGCUAAAUAGAAAAUGAAAUAUUUUAAAAUGAACAGGCAUCUGAUCAUUUUACUCAUUGCCGUCGUGGCUUGUACAGCCGCUAACGGAGGAUUGAGAGACUUACAGGAACAACAGUCCUCAAAUUUAGACACCCGUAUGAAGCAGGCUUGGCAAAGAGUGGUCAAUUUUUUCUGUGGAUUGGUACGCGGGCGAAAGGGUAAUCAUACUUUUGUAUAUCAAUGAUCUGUUUUAUAUUAAGAUCGAAUACUAUCACUUAUGUGGAUUGUACUAUAGUAGCUGUUGGAUAAAUUUAAACGGCAAUAAUUUCUGGUAAAAAAACGGAUGUUAUAACGUCUUUUUCCUUACAAUAAUAUUUAGGUAUGUUCCUACGCUCAUCAAAAGAACAAUUUAAUUUUAGGCAUGUCCCAUUAUAGAGUUCUACGGUUUUUGAGAUUGUUGCACAUCGGAAAAUAUUUUUUCAGAUCUAAAUCAAGAAUAUUUGUUUUUUCAAAUAAGCCAACAUUUUGGGCUCUUUACAGGUGCAAUGGUCCCAAAAAUCCCAAAGAUCCCUAAAAUUAGUUUAUUUUGCAACAUGUCCCACUUAAUAAAAACGUAUAAUUUUUACGAAUCUGGCAAUUCCCGGCUGUGAAUGUUCAUGUAUUAAAAGGAUACCUGAAGAGCAACGUGUAUUUUUGCGACUCCCUUCUUUUAAUUAGAUUAUACUAUACUCUCGAUACU
This is a long non-coding RNA of Hyposmocoma kahamanoa, 731 nucleotides long. RefSeq lists it as uncharacterized. Lineage: Eukaryota; Metazoa; Arthropoda; Insecta; Lepidoptera; Cosmopterigidae. The transcript has 3 exons. The record is from RefSeq and is a predicted model, not a curated record.